GAUGAAGAACGUAGCGAAAUGCGAUAAGUAAUGUGAAUUGCAGAUUUCAGUGAAUCAUCGAAUCUUUGAACGCACCUUGCGCCUUGUGGUAUUCCACAAGGCAUGCCCGUUUGAGUGUCAUUAAAUCAUCAACUUUUCACUUUUUUUGAGUUAGUUGGUCUUGAGGGUUUUGCGGGCUCUAGUCAGUCAGCUCCCUUUAAAUUCAUUAGCGAGACUUCCCUCUGCUGAACGUCUCCGGCGUGAUAAUUAUCUGCGUCGCUGCAACGUUCUCGUUGGGCUUGCUUCUAAUCGUCUUCGGACAACAGGAUUGAAGUGUGCAUAUUUGCGCCUCUUUUCAAAACAUUUUUGACCUCAGAUCGGGUAGGACUACCCGCUGAACUUAAGCAUAUCAAUAAGCGGAGGA
Molecule: unclassified non-coding RNA, 403 nt
Filed under: soil metagenome
Description: partial contains 5.8S ribosomal RNA, internal transcribed spacer 2, and large subunit ribosomal RNA
Rfam family: 5.8S ribosomal RNA (bases 1-120)
Source: RNAcentral